Molecule: ribosomal RNA, 492 nt
Filed under: uncultured bacterium
Lineage: Bacteria
Description: partial 16S ribosomal RNA
Rfam family: Bacterial small subunit ribosomal RNA
Source: RNAcentral
AGUGAACGCUGGCGGUAGGCCUAACACAUGCAAGUCGAACGGCAGCACAGUAAGAGCUUGCUCUUACGGGUGGCGAGUGGCGGACGGGUGAGGAAUACAUCGGAAUCUACUUUUUCGUGGGGGAUAACGUAGGGAAACUUACGCUAAUACCGCAUACGACCUACGGGUGAAAGCAGGGGAUCUUCGGACCUUGCGCGAUUGAAUGAGCCGAUGUCGGAUUAGCUGGUUGGCGGGGUAAAGGCCCACCAAGGCGACGAUCCGUAGCUGGUCUGAGAGGAUGGUCAGCCACACUGGAACUGAGACACGGUCCAGACUCCUACGGGAGGCAGCAGUGGGGAAUAUUGGACAAUGGGCGCAAGCCUGAUCCAGCCAUACCGCGUGGGUGAAGAAGGCCUUCGGGUUGUAAAGCCCUUUUGUUGGGAAAGAAAAGCAGCAGGUUAAUACCCCGCUGUUCUGACGGUACCCAAGGAAUAAGCACCGGCUAACUUCGUG